UACGUAGGAUGCAAGCGUUGUCCGGAAUUAUUGGGCGUAAAGAGCGAGCAGGCGGUUUGGAAAGUUGGACGUGAAAUUUUAGGGCUUAACCCUAAAGGGUCGUCCAAAACUCCCAGACUAGAGUGCAGGAGAGGAAAGCGGAAUUCCCGGUGUAGUGGUGAAAUGCGUAGAUAUCGAGAGGAACACCAGUGGCGAAGGCGAGUCCCUGGACAACACCUGACACUGAGGCACGAAAGCUAGGGGAGCAAACAGG
Molecule: ribosomal RNA, 253 nt
Filed under: uncultured bacterium
Lineage: Bacteria
Description: partial 16S ribosomal RNA
Rfam family: Bacterial small subunit ribosomal RNA
Source: RNAcentral